CAGAGGACGUUCUGGAGCAAAGCGAGUGGGGGAGGUGGCGGGAGACAGGGACAGAGGGGCAGAGGGAGAGUGUGUGCGUGUCCAGAGCUUCAGGGCGAGCGAUGGUGAUGUCACCUCCCCUCCACUCUGCCGAGGGGCUGUCCACACCAGCGCGUUGUCGUCAGUCGUCAGGCCAGUCUCACCCGCCUGCAAGGAGGAGGAGGGAACGGCACAGGGAAGUGGAGAACUUCUCAGGGACACCGAAGACAGGGGAACACUGCCUCCUUUCUCCUCCUCGCUCCACAAGAACCGGGGCCCAGCUCAGGGCAAUAAGAUUACUUUGGAGGCGGUGGUCGGAAUUUGCAGAAGUGAAAGACCCGAGGGUGUGUCAGCUCACAGGGUGAGUGCCAAGGCCGGAGCCGGGAGGUCAGCCCCCGAGCCAGCCAGUGCUCAGUUGGCCCGGAAUUCCUGAGUGUCUGCAGUCAGCAGGGCAGCCUCUGCAGGCUCCUGGAAGGCAUCUUCCUUUAUCAGAGGUGCUGGCGGGUCAGUAUCAAAGCUUUCUUGCUGGCCUGGAGAAUCUGCAUUCUGGCACCCCUCAGCCUGUCUUUGGCUAGACCCAGAGGACCAGGAAAACUACCUUUCGUUUGGCAUUGGAAGAGUUGGGUUGAAUUCUGAUCCAGGCACUUGUGUGCUCUGUGACCUUAGGAAAUGUAUUCAAAGUUCCUGAGCUUCCGUAUCCUAAUCUGCGGCCAUUUGUACUUUCCUGGUAGGUUUAGUGGUGAGGAUUAAAUAGGGUUGUAAAAAGUCUAUGGUGCAGGGAGUGCCUGGCACAGGGUACUAUCUUGGAGGGAUGGGGAGAGCGGGAGGUGUGGGGCAGCGAGGCUCGCCUUCGGAGGCAGACAGGGUCUGGUUCUGUCUCUCCCAUUUUCUACUGCUUGAGUGCCAGCUAUGCUUAACCUGGAGGCUGUUGCUUCAGCUCUAAGAUGGAGAUGCUGCUUGCUUCAUAGUUUCUGUAAGGAUUAAAAGUUGUCGUUACUGCCUUAAGGGAACUCCUAGGCCAUUGCGGGUACCUGGACCCAUGCCCAACUCUGGGAGACCAAAUCAGAGCUGGGGAUGCUCAAUCAGACUCCAUGCUGGAGGGCUUGGGGGAGAAGCCUGGGAAGGAAAGUCUGGGAGGGCUUCCUGAAGGAGGUGUUUGAAGUGGAGCCAGGCUGGAGGGACAGAGAGAGCAGGAGGGCCCCUGGUCUGGUGAACUGCAUAGCAGAGAGAGAGUUUACGUAGGAGCUGGCUGCCAAGUGGAACAGGGUCAGACCAUGAAUGAGGUGGGGCGGCUGGGGGUGGAGGGUUAGUGUGGCUGGAUGUGGGAGCCAUGGGGUCCAGGGGUCUGGGAGGAGGCCCAAGGAGUUUGACUUCUGUAGGUGGACACUUCUGAGCCAGAAGCACUGGUCUGGGAGGGGAAUGGCCUCUCCCUGGGUGGAGCUUUCUCUCCUCUGCCUCCCAUGUUCUGAGGCUGCUUCUGCUGUUUGAGCUUCUCUUAGUUUCCCCGAGAUGAUUACCCGGGAGACCUGGGGAGACAAGGAAGGAGGCAGCGAGGCCUUGGGGAAUAGACGCGCUCAGCCUGGAAUUCUGUUGGGAGCACAGAAAACACACACUGAACUGUGUUGCCAUGGAAGCUUACCUAACGCUUCCCUGGGGCUAAACUGGCCUUGGCUGGCCCAGGCCCAGCCCAUUUUCACCUUCCAGAUUGCUAAACAAAAUUAGAAAAAUGCUUUUGGAUCUUCUCUUCUGGGGCAUCCACAUGACCGCUCCCCUUGAUGGGGAUAACUGCACACUGACUCUGUGAAAGAGCAUCGCUGGAGGAAGAGCUCGCGCAGGCUUUGGACUGACCCCAGACUGAGGUCAAGUCUUGAAGGACUUUUAGUUCCUUAUCUGUAAAAAGGGGGUAAUAUUACCUUCCUCAUGGGCUAUUUUAGGGUUAUGAAUAAUACACGUAAGAGAUCUGACACUUUGAUGCUUAGUGGGAACCAACAAAUGAGAGCUGCCAUCAUCAUCACCAUCUUUUCCGCCACCACCACCGCCACCGCCAUCAUGGUCACAGCAGGCCUGGGUUGAGAGUUGGGGAAGGGGAGGGGGGUCAACAGGCAGGGCUCAGUUUGCAUGGCUAGCUCCCCAGGAAUUGGAUAUGCAAGCUUCUGUUUUGCAUGGUGGCAGAUUUUUGCAUUUUUCCCUUUAUCACUAUUCCACCUCCCUCUAGUUACCCUCAACCCCCCUGAGCCAGCUCUCUCUCCAGCCUAAGCACCAAUCAUGGGCUAGGCAGGCCCUGCAGAGGACACAAAGAUGCAUGAGACACUGCUCCCUCAUGCAAGGGGAACACCAGGGCUUAAAUUCUCCCACGACAAAUGUGUCAAAGCCGUGCGAACAAGACCACGAGUUCCACGGGGGCUGGUCUUGACGUCGAUGAAAGGGUGGGGCAAGCUGCACAGAGGAAGGCUUUAGGAAAGGCAGAGGACAAGCAGGGAGGGGUGGUGACAGUCAAGCUAACAUUGAUGGAAGGCCUCCGACUGCCGGGCACUGUUCCCUGAUCUAGUGUUCAUAUCGGGCCUCUUGGGUAGUUAUUAUCUGCAUUUUUGGCAGAGGGAAAGGAACCUCAGAGAAAUUAAGUAAUUUGCCCAACUUCACAAUGUUAGGAAGUCGCUCCAGAAUUCUUUUGCUUGCCUUCACUAUCCUUCAGCUUUUGGUCACACGUGGCUGCGGAGCAGAACGUGCGUAAAUACGCUCAGUCCCACCAGCAGACGGGGUUCCCAUUCCAGUUCUUCCCUUCACAGCUGUGUGCACUUGGGCACUUUCCCAUUCCUGCCUGGCAGGGUCUUUAUGAGUUUAAAUGAGGUGAAGUGUGCAUUGCACACAGUAGGGCCACAGGACGUGUUUCUGAGGCUCUGACAAUCCAUCUGAUGCUCGAGUCCCCUUGACCUUUGCCUUGAACCCUUCCUCACUCACCGGAAGCCGAGACUUCCUAGAUGAUGCUACAGAUUUCACUUGCCCGGAGCUCGAAGUUUUGGGAAGCCCUUGCUUACGGGUGAGCAGAAGUCUCUGGGGGCUCCUUCCUGCGGGUUCCAGUUGCAUCCCUUGGACCACACAGAUGAAUGUCCCUUCUUCCUCCUGGCAGGCGGUGUCUCUUCUCCAGGCCUUGCACUCCCAGCUCCUGCAGCUAUGUCUCUGUGGAACAUGGUUCCCAUUCCCCUCCUUAACCUAGACACCUCCUUGCAUCACCUCUUACUUGUUCAGUUCCCUCCUAAGAGUCAAACAAGAGCCAAACACUGUUCUCCAGGCGUGGUGUGAUCUGCGGGGAGAAAAUGGGCUCUUCCACACUGUCAUCUGCUGCUGAGGACCACGGAGGGCUUCAUGGCGGCCUCCUCAAGCUGUUGCUGGAGCGAAGGCAUGCACACUUGCACACAAGUGUGAUGAACAAUGGUAAGAAGGCAAGCGUCAACUGUGUGUCCAGGGGAGGGGCUGCUCAUUCCCUCUGCAGCAUCUACUCUGGGCAGGCACCCUGCCAGGUGCAGACUGGCACAGAGAUGGGAACCAGACAGACGCCAGAGGACCCUGCCCUGUCCGCCAGGAGCUGUGGUCUCACACUCGUGGGAUGAACGUGAUGGCAAGGUAGGUCCAGCGGCUCAUAGUAAGUAUGUGCGCCAGUCCGGCUGGAGCAGAUGCUAGGGCUCAGCGGGAGCUCCUGGAAGCACACCUUUGUCACCUUCUUACUUCCCUUCAUCUUGGACUCAGCCAUGCAAUCAACAACUACAUCCUGUUGGUUAUUUCUUCUCACAGUAUGUGGCCUCCACCCUGACUUCCCACCCCACUGCUCCUGCCACACCGCAGGCCUCGUCCCUUGCGUCUUGCAAUAGCCCCCUUCCUAGUCUCCUGCCUCCAGUUUGUGCCCCUACCUCCUAACCUACAUAUCUCAGCCCGCUUAGUCUGCCUACAGGACUUCUUUAGCCAUGUCACCCUUCUGUCCCCACACCUUCCUUGGCCCUUGUGACCUACAGGAUAAACUCUGUCUGGCUUUGAAACCCUCGAUCCCACCCAACUCCUCACCACCCACCUUUUCUGCUCUGUUCUACGGGAAUCCUGUUCCCGACCAAUGACUCAUCGCAUUUCCAGAUCUUUCCAUUCUUUUCUAAGCUCAAUUCAAUCAAGCCUAAAACCAUUUUAAAUAGCUCUUCGCUUCCUCUGAAGUCCUAUAGCGUAUGUCUUAAUCACUCAUUUAUGUGAAAGCAAAAUUUUGUUGCUAAGGCGCACAAGGUAGACUUUGGCCAGGCAGUAUUUUUAUUUAUACAAGGGCUCAGCGUGUACACAGAUAUCUUUAUACCCCUGCAACCCUCUCCAUUUCCUUUGUGUACAUUCGGGUUAGUGGAGGUAGUGAACAGCUGUUGUUUUCACCUGUCCAACAUCUCUUCCUCAUCUUUUGCCCCAUCACCUUUCUGCCCCUCUUUUAUAUAGUUUGGGUGGGGCUGGCCAUCCCUCUCCACGGCCCGGGCACAUGAUCCGGUCUGGUCAAGAUUACAGUAUUCUAGUCCCUUGCCCACAGUGAUUGGUUCUGGGGUGAGCAAGGGCCCUAAGUCAGCCCAAUGAGAGUCAGCCUUGGAAUUUAGCUGGAAGCACUGGGAAAGAGGCACUCCAUGGUCAUCGUCCUUGCUGCCAAGAAGGAAGCUAACACAGAGGAAAACAGUCAAGAGAAGAAGAGAAGGAUGGCCCUGCUGUCAUCGUCAAGCCUCCCAUCCGUCUACGCUGAAAGCCAAGUUCACCCCUGCACUUCCCAAUUGUGGGAGCAAAUAAAUCA
RNA transcript from Equus quagga, 4819 nucleotides. RefSeq lists it as uncharacterized. The record is from RefSeq and is a predicted model, not a curated record. The transcript has 3 exons. NCBI's taxonomy places the organism in Eukaryota, Metazoa, Chordata, Mammalia, Perissodactyla, Equidae.